UAAGGAAUAUUGGUCAAUGGACGCAAGUCUGAACCAGCCAUGCCGCGUGAAGGAAGACGGCCCUACGGGUUGUAAACUUCUUUUGUACGGGAAAAAACCACCGGUCGAGCAUCGGUGCUGAUGGUCCCGUAAGAAUAAGCCUCGGCUACCUCCGUGCCAGCCGCCGCGGUAAUACGUAGGAUGCAAGCGUUCUCCGGUUUCAUUGGGUUUAAAGGGUGCGCAGGCGGAAUGAUAAGACAGUGGUGAAAUCCUACGGCUCAACUGUCGAACUGCCAUUGAUACUGUUGAUCUUGAGUACAGUUGGAGUGGGCGGAAUGGGGCAUGUAGCGGUGAAAUGCUUAGAUAUGACACAGAACACCGAUGGCGAAGGCAGCUCACUAAAUUGUAACUGACGCUCAUGCACGAAAGCGUGGGGAUCAAACA
RNAcentral lists this ribosomal RNA (423 nucleotides) under uncultured prokaryote. RNAcentral describes it as "bacterial SSU rRNA". It matches the Rfam family "Bacterial small subunit ribosomal RNA", at positions 355 to 774 of the family's 1533-position model. The record is from RNAcentral.